Molecule: long non-coding RNA, 436 nt
Organism: Lycium ferocissimum
Lineage: Eukaryota; Viridiplantae; Streptophyta; Magnoliopsida; Solanales; Solanaceae
Exons: 3
Source: RefSeq, a predicted model, not a curated record
CUUUUCCUACCUGAACUAUCACUAUCUAUGUAUUGAAACACACCUAGUUGAGUAGAUGAUGAUAAUUCAGGUAGGAAAAGAAACCGCUAGUAGAUGGUCUAGGUGUAUUUUAAUACAUAGAUGAUAUUCGGGUACGAAAAGGGUAGGUGUUUUUGAAUACAUAGACGAUAUUCGGGUAUGAAAAGGGUAGGUGUGUUUUAAUGCAUGGACGAUAUUCGGGUACGAAAAGGGUAGAUGUGUUUUAAUACAUAGACGAUAUUAGGGUACGAAAUGGGUAGGUGUGUUUUAAUACAAAAGAUGAUAUUGGGGUUACGAAAAAGGUAGGUGUGUUUUAAUAUAUAGAAGAUAUUCAGUUACGAAAAGGGUAGUGUGUUUUAAUACAUAGUUCAGGUACGAAAAGGAUAGUUGGGGUGUGAAACUCGCUAAAAAGUGAUAG